This 322-nucleotide ribosomal RNA is filed under the name uncultured eukaryote. Its description in RNAcentral is "partial 18S ribosomal RNA". It matches the Rfam family "Eukaryotic small subunit ribosomal RNA", at positions 1470 to 1796 of the family's 1831-position model. The record is from RNAcentral.
CCCUUAGAUGUUCUGGGCCGCACGCGUGCUACACUGAGUAAUUCAAUGGGUAAGGGAACGCUAGAGCAUUACCUAAUCUUGAAAUUUGCUCGUGAUGGGGAUCGACGGUUGUAAUUUUCCGUCGUGAACGAGGAAUACCUUGUAGGCGCAUGUCAUCAUCAUGCGCCGAAUACGUCCCUGCCCUUUGUACACACCGCCCGUCGCUCCUACCGAUUGAGUGAUCCGGUGAGGCUCUGGGACCUGGACGGAAAGAGCGUUUCGCUUGUUCUGUUUGGGAAACUUGGUCGAACCUUAUCAUUUAGAGGAAGGAGAAGUCGUAACA